UUUUGGAUGUGGGGGUUUUUGCUGGGCCACUUUAAAAGGGGUUCAGCUCCCCUGAAAUGCAUUAGCAGAACAACCCUGUUCAUUGGUGUGAUAACUAUCUACGCUAUUGAAUGUGAGGGGCAGUUCAGCUUUCUAACGGUCCUUGGACAAUUCAUCAUUAAUGUGACCUCAAAUCAGGUAGGACUACCCGCUGAACUUAA
RNAcentral lists this unclassified non-coding RNA (200 nucleotides) under soil metagenome. Its description in RNAcentral is "partial contains internal transcribed spacer 2 and large subunit ribosomal RNA". The record is from RNAcentral.